Molecule: non-coding RNA, 755 nt
Organism: Callorhinus ursinus (northern fur seal)
Lineage: Eukaryota; Metazoa; Chordata; Mammalia; Carnivora; Otariidae
Source: RefSeq, a predicted model, not a curated record
AUGGCUGCUGGAAGCCGAGCCAACACUGUGCCACGAGACGCAGACAGCUGUGGUGUGGUGUGCAGUGGAGGUGCAUGAGAAAUGGCCCAUGGUGUGAGCUGGAAGGGCAGGCGUGUGGGCUUCCUCUCUGACCUGGGCAGAGCGGACUGCAGGAAUGGCGCUGCGAGACAUGCAGCAUCCAAAGUGCCGUGCAGUUUCCAGAAUGAAGACCUAGCAACCACAGCGCAACGCACAGCAGUCAGCUCCAGUUCUCCAAGCUUGAAAUUGGGUUGGGUGAAGCCAAAGGGUGAGGCCCUAAUUCAAAAGGGCGAUGGCCUUUUAAGAAGAGGAAGCCAUGUGAGCCAUGCCUGCUCUGUGUGGACACAGCAAGAAGACGUGCUCUGACAUCCAGGAAGAGGCUUUCACUGGAACCCGAACAUGCUGGCACCAUGGAUCUCCAGCCUCCAGAACUACUUCUACUUCAUCUGAGAACAACCAGAAAAGCCAAAUCAAAUCAUCAUCAUCAUCAUCACCCACUUAAAGGCAUUCAGAGAGCUGCUGAAGCAACCAGACUUAGAGGGACCAAGAUUCUGGAACGAUGUUGAGAGCGAGAGAGCACAAACCAAGAAGAGCUUCAUAGUCCAAAAGACUGAAGACAUAGAGAACUCACUUGAGCUCCUCAUCGACAGAGGGAUUUUGAAAAUGCUAAUUCAGCUCUGUAUGAACUGUAAAACCUCAUGGCCCAAUAUCUAAAAAAAAAAAAAAUUUUGUCAUCA